UCCCCGCUCGACGAAGUACCGGGCGUCACUCCACCUGUGGCGUGGGGAUGCUGCCCUCCGGCUCCGCCUCCGCGGUGGGCAG
RNAcentral lists this transfer RNA (82 nucleotides) under Streptomyces atratus. RNAcentral describes it as "tRNA-His". Lineage: Bacteria; Bacillati; Actinomycetota; Actinomycetes; Kitasatosporales; Streptomycetaceae. The record is from RNAcentral.